AUGCUUAUUUACAGUUUUGGGAAAACUAGAGAUGGACUUGUUGGUUUUGUUGAUUCUGAUUUUGCUGGUGAUUUGGAUAAGAGAAGAUCGCUCACAGGUUAUGUUUUCACCAUUGGUGGUUGUGCUGUGAGUUGGAGAGCAACUUUGCAGUCUAUUGUGGCUUGUUCCACUACUGAUGCCGAGUAUAUGGCUAUUUCUGAGGCAUGCAAAGAAGCUAUCUGGUUGAGAGGUUUGUACACUGAGCUUUGUGGAGAUUCAUCUUGCCCUACCAUAUUUUCUGACAGUCAAAGUGCCAUAUAUCUUACAAAGAAUCCAAUGUAUCAUGAGAGGACAAAGCACAUUGAUGUUAGAUUUCAUUAUAUUCGAGAUGUUGUUGCUGAAGGCAAUUUGAAGGUAUGCAAGAUAAGUACUCAUGAUAAUCCUGCUGAUAUGAUGACAAAGCCAGUUCCGACCAAUAAGUUUGAGCUUUGCUCAGGCUUAGUUGGUAUUUCUCGCUAG
RNAcentral lists this ribosomal RNA (498 nucleotides) under Triticum aestivum (bread wheat). Its description in RNAcentral is "partial small subunit ribosomal RNA". Lineage: Eukaryota; Viridiplantae; Streptophyta; Magnoliopsida; Poales; Poaceae. The record is from RNAcentral.